CCCCAGACUCCUACGGGAGGCAGCAGUGAGGAAUAUUGGUCAAUGGGCUUACGCCUGAACCAGCCAAGUCGCGUGAGGGAAGACUGCCCUAUGGGUUGUAAACCUCUUUUGUCAGGGAGCAAUUGGCGCUACGUGUAGCGUUAUCGAGAGUACCUGAAGAAAAAGCAUCGGCUAACUCCGUGCCAGCAGCCGCGGUAAUACGGAGGAUGCGAGCGUUAUCCGGAUUUAUUGGGUUUAAAGGGUGCGUAGGCGGUUUUUUAAGUUAGUGGUUAAACGUCGGGGCUUCACCUUGAUUUGCCAUUAAUACUGUAAGACUCGAGUUCAGACGAGGUAGGCGGAAUAAGUUAAGUAGCGGUGAAAUGCUUAGAUAUAACUUAGAACUCCGAUAGCGAAGGCAGCUUACCAGACUGCGACUGACGCUGAAGCACGAGAGCGUGGGUAGCGAACAGGAUUAGAUACCCGAGUA
Molecule: ribosomal RNA, 466 nt
Filed under: uncultured bacterium
Lineage: Bacteria
Description: bacterial SSU rRNA
Rfam family: Bacterial small subunit ribosomal RNA
Source: RNAcentral